GUAAGUCCGCAAGAGCGCAACCCUUGAUUUAGUUGCCAGCAUUCAGUUGGGCACUUAAGGUGACUGCCGGUGACAAACCGGAGGAAGGUGGGGAUGACGUCAAAUCAUCAUGCCCCUUAUGACCUGGGCUACACACGUGCUACAAUGGGCAGAACAAAGGGCAGCGAAGCCGCGAGGCUAAGCCAAUCCCACAAAUCUGUUCUCAGUUCGGAUCGCAGUCUGCAACUCGACUGCGUGAAGCUGGAAUCGCUAGUAAUCGCGGAUCAGCAUGCCGCGGUGAAUACGUUCCCGGGCCUUGUACACACCGCCCGUCACACCACGAGAGUUUGUAACACCCGAAGUCGGUGAGGUAACCUUUUGGAGCCAGCCGCCGAAGGUGGACAGAUGAUGGGGG
RNAcentral lists this ribosomal RNA (394 nucleotides) under Bacillus licheniformis. RNAcentral describes it as "bacterial SSU rRNA". It matches the Rfam family "Bacterial small subunit ribosomal RNA", at positions 1080 to 1480 of the family's 1533-position model. The record is from RNAcentral. Lineage: Bacteria; Bacillati; Bacillota; Bacilli; Caryophanales; Bacillaceae.